Molecule: long non-coding RNA, 7089 nt
Filed under: Olea europaea (common olive)
Lineage: Eukaryota; Viridiplantae; Streptophyta; Magnoliopsida; Lamiales; Oleaceae
Description: long non-coding RNA (OEUR_LNC010097)
Source: RNAcentral
UCUCAAACAAUUAUCAAGAUCUAUCUUUUAAUAUAUUUGUGAUUAAUGUUUUAUCUUCCAUAUGAGAUGACUCCUUAGUCGAUUUUCAUAUGAGUUAAAUUAAAGAUCAAGGGCAAUUUCUACUCAUUUAUCCGAAGUGAAUCCCCGACGCUCUAGUAUUCGUCUCAAUCGUAUUUUCACCAAUCGUUCACUACUCAUAGACUAGUUCAUUUCCUUCCAAUACCCUAUGGUUCGACCUCGGACUUCCGAGAUUUACUACUUGCGACAACCUGCACUUGGAAUUGAGCUAAUGAAAAGAGGUUUUUCAUUUUAUGAUAACUUCGGGUUUCUUCAUUUUCGGCGAAUUGCAUGUCUAAUUCGAUUGGAAUCGAGCCAGAGAAAAGUUGUUUUUCAUUUCAUGAUAACUUCAAGUUUGUUCAUUUUUGGCGAAUUGCAAGUCUAAUUCAUCGGAAUAGAACCAAAGAAAAUUGGUUUUCCAUUCCAUGAUAACUUCGGAUUUGUUCAUUUUUGGCGAAUUACUAGUCUAACUCGAUCGGAAUCGAACCAAUGAAAAGUGGCUUUUGAUUUCAUGAUAACUUCGGGUUUGUUCGUUUUUGGAGUAUUGCUAGUCUAAUUCGAUUGGAAUCGAGCUAAAGAAAAGUGGUUUUUCAUUUCAUGAUAACGUCGUGUUUCUCCAUUUUUGGCGAAUUGCUAGUCUAAAUCGAUUGGAAUCGAGCUAAUGAAAAGAUGAUUUUGAUUUCUUUAUAACUUCGAGUUUGUUCAUUUUUGGCGAAUUGCUAGUCUAAUUCGAUUGGAAUCGAGCCAAUGAAAAGAGGUUUUUCAUUUCAUGAUAACUUCGGGUUUGAUCGUUUUUGGCGAAUUGCUAGUCUAAUUCGAUUGGAAUCGAGCCAAUGAAAAGAGGUUUUUCAUUUCAUGAUAACUUCGGGUUUGUUCAUUUUUGGCAAAUUGCUAGUCAAAUUCGAUUGGGAUCGAGCCAAUGAAAAGUGGCUUUUUAUUUCAUGAUAACUUCGUGUUUGUUCAUUUUUGGCGAAUUUCCAGUCCAAAUAGAUUGGAAUCGAGCAAGUGAAAAGCGGCUUUUGAUUUCAUGAUAACUUCGGUUUAUUCGUUUUUAGCAAAUUGCUAUCUAAUUCGAUUGGAAUCGUGCCAAUGAAAAGUGGCUUUUGAUUUCAUGAUAACUUUGGGUUUGUUCAUUUUUGGCUAAUUUCUAGUCUAAAUCGAUUGGAAUCGUGCAAGUGAAAAGUGGCUUUUGAUUUCAUGAUAACUUCGGUUUAUUCAUUUUUGGCGAAUUGCUAUCUAAUUCGAUUGGAAUCGGGCUAAUGAAAAGUGGCUUUUGAUUUCAUGAUAAAUUAGGGUUUGUUCGUUUUUGGCGUAUUGCUAGUCUAAUUCGAUUGGAAUCGAGACAAGGAAAAGUGAUUUUUCAUUUCAUGAUAACUUCGUGUUUAUUCGUUUCUGGCAAAUUUCUAGUCUAAAUCAAUUGGAAUCGAGCUAAUGAAAAGAUGAUUUUGAUUUCAUGAUAACUUCGGGUUUGUUCCUUUUCGGCAAAUUGCUAGUCUAAUUCGAUUGGAAUCGAGCCAAUGGAAAGAGGUUUUUCAUUUCAUGAUAACUUCGUGUUUGUUUAUUUUUGGCGAAUUGCUAGUCUAAAUCAAUUGGAAUCGAGCUAAUGAAAAGUUGAUUUUGAUUUCAUGAUAACUUCGGGUUUGUUCCUUUUCGGCGAAUUGCUAGUCUAAUUCGAUUGGAAUUGAGCCAAUGGAAAGAGGUUUUUCAUUUCAUGGUAACUUCGGGUUUGUUCAUUUUUGGCGAAUUGCUGCUCUAAUUCGAUUGGACUCGAGCCAAUGAAAAGUGGCUUUUGAUUUCAUGAUAACUUCGGGUUUGUUCAUUUUUGACGAAUUGCUAGUCUAAAUCGAUUGGAAUCGUGAGAGUGAAAAGUGGCUUUUGAUUUCAUGUUAACUUUGGUUUAUUCGAUUUUUGCAAGUUGCUAUCUAAUUCGAUUGGAAUCGAGCCAAUGAAAAGUGGCCUUUGAUUUUAUGAUAACUUCGGGUUUGUUCAUUUUUGGCGAAUUGCUAGUCUAAUUCGAUUGGAAUCGAGCCAAAGAAAAGUGGUUUUUCAUUUCAUGACAACUUCGUGUUUGAUCGUUUUGGCGAAUUGCUAGUCUAAAUCGAUUGGAAUCGAGCUAAUGAAAAGGUGAUUUUGAUUUCAUGAUAACUUCGGGUUUGUUCGUUUUUGACGAAUUGUUAGUCUAAUUCGAUUGGAAUUGGGCUAAUCAAAAUAGGUUUUUCAUUUCAUGAUAACUUCGGGUUUGUUCAUUUUUGGCGAAUUGCAUGGCUAAUUCGAUUGAAAUCGAGCCAAAGAAAAGUGGUUUUUCAUUUCUUGAUAACUUCGUGCUUGAUCAUUUUUGGCGAAUUGCUAGUCUAAAUCGAUUGGAAUCGAGCUAAUGAAAAGAUGAUUUUGAUUUCACGAUAACUUCGGGUUUAUUCAUUUUUGAUGAAGUGCUAGUCUAAUUCGAUUGGAAUUGAGCUAAUGAAAAGGGGUUUUUCAUUUCAUGAUAACUUCAUGUUUGUUCAUUUUUGGCGAAUUGCUUGUCUAAUUCGAUUGGAAUCUAACUAAUAAAAAGUGGCUUUUGAUUUCAUGGUAACUUAGGGUUUGUUCAUUUUUGGCGUAUUACUAGUCCAAUUCAAUUGGAAUCGAGCCAAAGAAAAGUGGUUUUUUCAUUUCAUGAUAACUUCGUGCUUGCUCAUUUUUGGCGAAUUGCUAGUCUAAAUCGAUUGGAAUCGAGCUAUUGAAAAGAUGAUUUUGAUUUCAUGAUAACUUCAGGUUUGUUCCUUUUUGGCGAAUUGCUAGUCUAAUUCGAUUGGAAUCGAUCCAUUGAAAAGAGUUUUUUCAUUUCAUGAUAACUUCGGGUUUGUUCAUUUUUGGCGAAUUGCUAGUCCAAUUCGAUUGGAAUCGAACAAAUGAAAAGUGGUUUUUGAUUUAAUAAUAACUUCGAGUUUGUUCAUUUUUGGUGAAUUUCUAGUCCAAAUCGAAUGGAAUCGUGCAAGUGAAAAGUGGCUUUUGAUUUCAUGAUGACUUCGAUUUAUUCAUUUUUGGCGAAUUGCUAUCUAAUUCGAUUGGAAUCGAGCCAAUGAAAAGUGGCUUUUGAUUUCAUGAUAACUUCGGGGUUAUUCAUUUUUGGCGAAUUGCUAUCUAAUUCGAUUGGAAUCGAGCCAAUGAAAAGUGGCUUUUGAUUUCAUGAUAACUUCGGGUUUGUUCAUUUUUGGCUAAUAUCUAGUCUAAAUCGAUUGGAAUCGCGCAAGUGAAAAGUGGCUUUUGAUUUCAUGAUAACUUCGAUUUAUUCGUUUUGGGCGAAUUGCUACUAAUUCGAUUGGAAUCCAGCUAAUGAAAAGUGGCUUUUGAUUUCAUGAUAACUUAGGGUUUGUUCAUUUUUGGCGUACUGCUAGUCUAAUUCGAUUGGAAUCGAUCCAAAGAAAAGUGAUUUUUCAUUUCAUGAUAACUUCGUGUUUGUUCGUUUUUGGCGAUUUGCUAGUCUAAAUCAAUUGGAAUCGAGCUAAUGAAAUGAUGAUUUUGAUUUCAUGAUAACUUCGGGUUUGUUCAUUUUUGGCGAAUUGUUAGUCUAAUUCGAUUGGAAUCGAGCCAAUGAAAAGAGGUCUUUCAUUUCAUGAUAACUUUGGGUUUCUUCAUUUUUGGUGAAUUGCUACUCCAUUUCGAUUGGAAUCGAGCCAAUGAAAAGUAGCUUUUGAUUUCAUGAUAACUUCGGGGUUAUUCAUUUUUGGCGAAUUGCUAGUCUAAAUCGAUUGGAAUCGUGAGAGUGAAAAGUGGCUUUUGAUUUCAUGAUGAGUUCGAUUUAUUCGGUUUUUGGGAAUUGCUAUCUAAUUCGAUUGGAAUCGAGCCAAUGAAAAAUGGCUUUUGAUUUUAUGAUAACUUCGGGUUUGUUCAUUUUUGGCGAAUUGCUAGUCUAAUUCGAUUGGAAUCGAGCCAAAGAAAAGUGGUUUUUCAUUUCAUGAUAACUUCGUGUUUGAUCAUUUUAGCGAAUUGCUAGUCUAAAUCGAUUGGAAUCAAGCGAAUGAAAAGGUGAUUUUGAUUUCAUGAUAACUUCGGGUUUGUUCGUUUUUGACGAAUUGUUAGUCUAAUUCGAUUGGAAUUGGGCUAAUCCAAAGAGGUUUUUCAUUUCAUGAUAACUUCGGGUUUGUUCAUUUUUGGCGAAUUGCAUGUCUAAUUCGAUUGGAAUCGAGCCAAAAAAAGUGGUUUUUCAUUUCAUGAUAACUUCAAGUUUGUUCAUUUUUGGCGAAUUGCAAGUCUAAUUCGAUUGGAAUAGUGCCAAAGAAAAUUCGUUUUUCAUUUCAUGAUAAAUUCAGAUUUAUUCAUUUUUGGCGAAUUACCAGUCCAAUUCAAUUGGAAUCGAGCCAAUGAAAAGUGGCUUUUGAUUUCUUUAUAACUUCGGGUUUGUUCGUUUUUGUAGUAUUUCUAGUCUAAUUCGAUUGGAAUCAAGCCAAAGAAUACUGGUUUUUCAUUUCAUGAUAACUUCGUGUUUGUUCGUUUUUGGCGAAUUGCUAGUCUAAAUCGAUCGGAAUCGAGCUAAUGAAAAGUUGAGUUUGAUUUCAUGAUAACUUCGAGUUUGUUCAUUUUUGGCGAAUUGCUAGUCUAAUACGAUUGGAAUCGAGUCAAUGAAAAGUGGUUUUCCAUUUCAUGAUAACUUCGGGUUUGUUCGUUUUUGGCAAAUUACGAGUCCAAUUCGAUUGGAAUCGAGCAAGUGAAAAGUGGAUUUUGAUUUCAUGAUAACUUCGAUUUGUUCAUUUUUGGCGAAUUGCGAUCUAAUUCGAUUGGAAUCGAGCCAAUGAAAAGUGGCUUUUGAUUUCAUGAUAACUUUGGGUUUGUUCAUUUUUGGCGAAUUGCAAGUCUAAAUCAAUUGGAAUCAUGCAAGUGAAAAGUGUCUUUUGAUUUCAUGAUAACUUCAGUUUAUUCAUUUUUUGCGAAUUGUUAUCUAAUUCGAUUAGGAUCGGGCCAAUGAAAAGUGGCUUUUUAUUUCAUGAUAACUUCGGGUUUGUUCGUUUUUGACGUAUUGCUUGUCUAAUUCGAUUGGAAUCAAGCCAAAGAAAAAUGGUUUUUCAUUUCAUGAUAACUUCGUGUUUGAUCAUUUUUGACGAUUUGCGAGUCUAAAUCGAUUGGAAUCGAGCUAAUGAAAAGAUGAUUUUGAUUUCAUCAUAACUUCGGCUUUGUUCAUUUUUGGCGAAUUGCUAUCCUAAUUUGAUUGGAAUCGAGCCAAUGAAAAGAGGUUUUUCAUUUAAUGAUAACUUCGGGAUUUUUCAUUUUUGGCGAAUUGCUAGUCCGAUUUGAUUGGAAUUGAGCCAAUGAAAAGUGGCUUUUGAUUUCAUGAUAACUUCGAGUUUGUUCAUUUUUGGCAAAUUGCUAGUCCAAUUCGAUUUGAAUCAAGCCAAUGAAAAGUGGCAUUUUAUUUCAUGAUAACUUUUCGUUAGUUUGUUUUUGGCGAAUUGCUAGUCUAAUUCGAUUGUAAUUGAGCCAGAGAACAGUGGUUUUUCAUUUCAUGAUAACUUCGAAUUUGUUCCUUUUUGGCAAAUUGUUAGUCUAAAUCGAUUGGAAUCGAGGUAAUGAAGAGUUGAUUUUGAUUUCAUGAUAACUUCGGGUUUGAUCAUUUUUGGCGACAUGCUAGUCUAAUUCGAUUGGAACCGAGCCAAUGAAAAGUGGUUUUUCGCUUCAUGAUAACUUCGGGUUUGUUGGUUAUUGGAGAAUUGCUAGUCCAAUUCGAUUGGAAUCGAGCCAUUGAAAAUUGGCUUUUGAUUUCAUGAUAACUUUGGAUUUGUUCGAUUUUGGCUAAUUACUAGUCUAAAUCGAUUGGAAUUGAGCCGAUGAAAAGUGACUUUUGAUUUCAUGAUAACUUCAGGUUUGUUUAUUUUUGGAGAAUUACAAGUCUAAUUCGAUUGGAAUCGAGCCAAAGAAAAGUUGCUUUUCAUUUCAUGAUAACUUCGAGUUUAUUCAUUUUUGGCGAAUUACUAGUCUAAAUUGAUUGGAAUCGAGCUAAUGAAAAGUUGAUUUUAAUUUCAUGAUAACUUCGGGUUUGUUCGUUUUUGGCGACUUGCUAGUCUAGUUCGAUUGGAAUCGAGCCAAUGAAAAGUGGUUUUUCAUUUCAUGAUAACUCGGGUUUGUUCAUUUUUGACAAAUUACUAGUCCAAUUCGAUUGGAAUCGAGCUAAUGAAAAGUGGCUUUUGACUUUAUGAUAACUUUGGGUUAGUUCAUUUUUGGCAAAUUGCUAGUCUAAUUCGAUUGGAAUCGAGCAAGAGAACAGUGGUUUUUCAUAUCAUUACAAUUUCGGAUUUGUUCCUUUUUGGAAAAUUGCUAGUCUAAAUCGAUUGGAAUCGAGCUAAUGAAAAGUUGAUUUUGAUUUCGUGAUAACUUCGGGUUUGUUCGUUUUUGGCGAAUUACUAGUCUAAUUCGACUGGAAUCAAGUCAAUGAAAGGUGGUUUUAGAUUUCAUGAUAACUUCAGUUUGUUCAUUUUUGGCGAAUUGUGAUCUAAUUCGAUUGGAAUUGAGCCAAUGAAAAGUGGCAUUUGAUUUCAUGAUAACUUCGGGUUUGUUCAUUUUUGGCGAAUCGCUAGACUAAAUCGAUUGGAAUUGUGCAAGUGAAAAGUGGCUUUUGAUUUCAUGAUAACUUCAGUUUGUUCAUUUUUGGCGAAUUGUGAUCUAAUUCGAUUGGAAUUGAGCCAAUGAAAAGUGGAUUUUGAUUUCAUGAUAACUUCGGGUUUGUUCAUUUUUGGCGAAUUGCUAGUCUAAAUCGAUUGGAAUCGUGCAAGUGAAAAGUGGCUUUUGAUUUCAUGAUAACUUCGGUUUAUUCAUUUUUGGCGAAUUGCUAUCUAAUUUGAUUGGAAUCGAGCCAAUGAAUAUUGGCUUUUGAUUUCAUGAUAACUUCGGUUUGUUCGUUUUGGGCGAAUUGCUAGUCUAAAUCGAUUGGAAUCGAGGUAAUGAAAAGAUGAUUUCAAUUUCAUGAUAACCUUGGGUUUGUUUAUUUUUGGCGAAUUGCUAGUCUAAUUCGAUUGGAAUCGAGCCAAUGAAAAGAGGUUUUUCAUUUCAUGAUAACUUCGG